AGCAGCCGCGGUAAUUCCAGCUCCAAUAGCGUAUAUUAAAGUUGUUGCAGUUAAAAAGCUCGUAGUUGAAUUUCGAGACCGGCUUACUGGUCGUGCUAUUGUGCGUACUGGUAUAAUCGGUUUCUCCUUUCUGACGAACUAUAAUGCCAUUAAUUUGGUGUUAUAGGGAAUCAGGACUGUUACUUUGAAAAAAUUAGAGUGUUUAAAGCAGGCUCACGCUUGAAUACAUUAGCAUGGAAUAACGGAAUAGGACGUUUGAUUCUAUUUUGUUGGUUUCUAGGAUCGACGUAAUGAUUAAUAGGGAUAGUUGGGGGCAUUAGUAUUCAAUUGUCAGAGGUGAAAUUCUUGGAUUUAUUGAAGACUAACUACUGCGAAAGCAUUUGCCAAGGAUGUUUUCAUUAAUCAAGAACGAAAGUUAGGGGAUCGAAGACGAUCAGAUACCGUCGUAGU
Molecule: ribosomal RNA, 450 nt
Filed under: uncultured Glomeromycotina
Lineage: Eukaryota; Fungi; Glomeromycota
Description: SSU rRNA
Rfam family: Eukaryotic small subunit ribosomal RNA
Source: RNAcentral